RNAcentral lists this ribosomal RNA (497 nucleotides) under uncultured bacterium. RNAcentral describes it as "partial 16S ribosomal RNA". It matches the Rfam family "Bacterial small subunit ribosomal RNA", at positions 30 to 507 of the family's 1533-position model. The record is from RNAcentral.
AUUGAACGCUGGCGGCAUGCCUAACACAUGCAAGUCGAGCGGACGAACGGAACUUUCUCCUGGCUUCUGUUGCCGACGGGUGAGUAAUUCCUAGGUAUAUGACUGGCCUUGGGGGAUAACGUCAGGUCACGGGCCCUAAUACAACAUACGUCAUUAUGUUGAACGUGGUGGAUCAUAGGACAUCACGGUACUUGCUGUCCCUAGUACGUAUUUGCUCGCUGCAUUAGCUAGUUGGUACGGUAACGGCUUACCAAGGCGACGAUGCAUAGCUGAUCUGAGAGGAUGAUCAGCCACACUGGAACUGAGACACGGUCCAGACUCCUACGGGAGGCAGCAGUGGGGAAUAUUGGACAAUGGGCGAAAGCCUGAUCCAGCCAUGCCGCGUGUGUGAAGAAGGUCUUCGGAUUGUAAAGCACUGUAAGUUGGGAGGAAGAGCAGUAAGUUAAUACCUUGAUAUUUUGACGUUACCAACAGAAUAAGCACCGGCUAACUACGUG